GCUUGCACAGCAGGGAAAGGCAGAGCAUUAAUGAGAGUAUCAUUUGUUCGGUCACUUCUGCAUUGUGAGCAGCAGCUCUGAAGCACUUCUCAAAGUUUUGUUGCAGAAUAAUACUGACUGACUUCCAGCCUAUGCAAGAUGUAAGCCUGGAAGCAGCAAGGAUAUAUUUACUUUUGCAGGAGCAAGAAGUUACAUGAAAAGAUGGAGACAAAGGGCUGUGAUCCAUGACAGUUAAGUUAGAAGAAAUCUUUCUCCGCUGGUUUGGAUUAGAGCUGUAGUAGCUCGCACGGUGGAUCUGUCCUGACUUUUUUUUUUUUCAGUGAGCGAAGUUUGUACUGUGGUGGGAAGGCAGAAGAAAAGUUGCAAGGACUUAGCACUCACAGACAAGAGCUUCUAUCAGCAGGGCAAAGGGAUUGCCCUGAGCAGAGCAGCAAGUGCUGAACCUUGAGGCACUGAUUGGCCUUAGUGGCCCUGACCAGCCCCACCUGGGCCCAGGGCUGCUAUUUAACAGUCCCAGCACCACCCCCCUCAUGCUGCUCCCACCAGCAGGACAAAGAAGCAGCUUCAGGGCUAUCUCUACAGUGCCUUAGAAGAGUGAGCUGCUACAGGAUGAAAAAGAGUGGCUCCAGGUGCUGGAAGCCGAGCAAUGUCCUGGGUCUCUCAGCGGCUCCUCCUUGUCGAGGUCAGACACAAGCCAGCUUCUGGAACAGUACAAGGGCUACCUGGUCGCAAAACUCUGGGAACCUAGAGACUUCAAUGAGGAGGUGUAUCUACAUGCUUGUCUGGUCUUGUGUGAGGACUGGUGCCACUGGUGUAGCAGCAGAAACAGAUAAAGGUGGAUGUGAAAAGAGGAAGGGAUUCACAAUGCACUUCAGACUCAGGUUGGAAAGUUUUAUACUCUUCAGUUUUCUUUUUGGCUUCCAUCCAGAGCUGUUCCAGUUUGUAAGUCACUUACAAGAAAGAGAUGGAAGAAUGUUUUUCCACUCUCUGCUCCAAAUAACAGAAUUUACAGAUCUUUUCUGUUAGAAAAUAAGUAAUAAUAAAAUUCUAGGUAUUUAAACA
Molecule: long non-coding RNA, 1062 nt
Organism: Numida meleagris (helmeted guineafowl)
Lineage: Eukaryota; Metazoa; Chordata; Aves; Galliformes; Numididae
Source: Ensembl